ACCUUCGGGUGAGCGGCGGACGGGUGAGUAACGCGUGGGAACGUGCCCUUUGGUACGGAACAACUGAGGGAAACUUGUGCUAAUACCGGAUAAGCCCUUACGGGGAAAGAUUUAUCGCCGAAAGAUUGGCCCGCGUCUGAUUAGCUAGUUGGUGAGGUAACGGCUCACCAAGGCGACGAUCAGUAGCUGGUCUGAGAGGAUGAUCAGCCACAUUGGGACUGAGACACGGCCCAA
RNAcentral lists this ribosomal RNA (234 nucleotides) under uncultured bacterium. RNAcentral's name for it is "partial 16S ribosomal RNA". It matches the Rfam family "Bacterial small subunit ribosomal RNA", at positions 83 to 334 of the family's 1533-position model. The record is from RNAcentral.